GUGAUUAUGAUAUAAUGUUCUUUACAGAAAAGCUAAGACGGUGGCUCUGAUUUCUGAAAGGUGGUGAUGCCUAUGGGCAAUGCAUCAAAAUCCAACUGAAAGGAGCGUUUUAUUGUCUACUUACGAGGCCCUUCAACUCAUGCUGGCUUUUGGUAGUUUCUUACUUACCUUAAUCAGCUUAG
This 182-nucleotide small RNA is filed under the name Streptococcus equi. RNAcentral describes it as "Listeria sRNA rli28". It matches the Rfam family "Listeria sRNA rli28". Lineage: Bacteria; Bacillati; Bacillota; Bacilli; Lactobacillales; Streptococcaceae. The record is from RNAcentral.